This is a long non-coding RNA of Hemiscyllium ocellatum (epaulette shark), 181 nucleotides long. RefSeq lists it as uncharacterized. The record is from RefSeq and is a predicted model, not a curated record. NCBI's taxonomy places the organism in Eukaryota, Metazoa, Chordata, Chondrichthyes, Orectolobiformes, Hemiscylliidae. The transcript has 3 exons.
GAAGAACAAAAGGUUCUGGAGUCACCUUUCUUUGCGGAGGAAACCCAACUGGAAUUGAUAAAAUCAGAUGCUGUCUUUUCAGUGGACACCCAGGAUAGACCACUUGAGUCCAUAAAAUCAGGUGGACAGCAUUCAAUAGCUUCUCAUGGUACUAAAAGUCAGCAUGGCAGCAUUACAAGUC